Molecule: ribosomal RNA, 497 nt
Filed under: uncultured bacterium
Lineage: Bacteria
Description: partial 16S ribosomal RNA
Rfam family: Bacterial small subunit ribosomal RNA
Source: RNAcentral
GAUGAACGCUGGCGGCGUGCCUAAUACAUGCAAGUCGAGCGAACGGACGAGAAGCUUGCUUCUCUGAUGUUAGCGGCGGACGGGUGAGUAACACGUGGAUAACCUACCUAUAAGACUGGGAUAACUUCGGGAAACCGGAGCUAAUACCGGAUAAUAUUUUGAACCGCAUGGUUCAAAAGUGAAAGACGGUCUUGCUGUCACUUAUAGAUGGAUCCGCGCUGCAUUAGCUAGUUGGUAAGGUAACGGCUUACCAAGGCAACGAUGCAUAGCCGACCUGAGAGGAGGGAGAGGGACACAAGAACAGCGACACCGCCAAAACGGCGACGGGGGGGAGCAGGGGGGAGUAUUGGACAGGAGGGGAAGAGAGGAUGCAGGCAUGCCGCGGGGGGGAAGAAGGUGUUCGGAUGAUAAAAAACUUUAAUAGGGGAGAAAAAAAAUAAAUAAAAUGAAUGGCCGUCCUGUCGGGACCAAAAAAACAGAAAGCCACGAAACCCCCG